Long non-coding RNA from Callorhinus ursinus (northern fur seal), 390 nucleotides. RefSeq lists it as uncharacterized. The record is from RefSeq and is a predicted model, not a curated record. NCBI's taxonomy places the organism in Eukaryota, Metazoa, Chordata, Mammalia, Carnivora, Otariidae.
GUUAGUGAAUCCAAGUUCCCUCUGUUCUGACAUUGGGUGUCCUGGGAAGAGAAAGAACUUGACCAGAAGCCAGUCAACAAGCACCAGGGUCAGACCCAGAUAGAUGGGUCGGGAGAACAUGAGGCGUGAGCUCUGCUACCUGUAUUCCAUCAUGGUCUAGUUGCACGAUAGCUGAAGUUGGAGGGCUGAGCAUCUUCAUCCAAAACCGCCAUUUCUCAAGAAGAUAAAGUCAGUCGGGGGAGGUACAGCAAGAAGAUGGCUGUCUCUGAACCGGGAAGCUCUUGCCAAACACCAAAUCUGCCGACACCACAUCUUCAACUUCUCAUUCUCCAGAACUCUCAUUUGCACGUGGUAGCAGCAGAAUUAAUAGAAGGUUUAGCAAAGAACGAC